UUACUAGUCAUUGGAUUAUCCAGUAUCCUUAUUCCCUUCCCCAUCUAUUUUUGUACUAUUUUCUUCUCUGCAAGUUUCCGUUCUUUCUUAUUUUGAUCAGCUUCCUGAGGUUUAGUGCUUACCUUAGGGUGGGAUGCUUUAUCUCUGCAGAUAUGCCUAAAUUGAGAGCACACAGGGCAAAAUAGCUGUCUCUAAUCAUAAGAGACUUUAUGAACAAAUAAUCUCCCAAACGAAUCAAUAAUUUUAAUUUACUUAGGCAACUACUGAGUUAUAUAUUCAUAUCAACAAGAACUCUUGCAUAAGAUAUUCUUGUUUAAUCUUUAGUACAUUCAUCUACAAAUAAUGGCUAACCUAAUAUACUCACAAUCUUACUUAAAGUCUUUUAGCCCCAGCAAUUUAAAUGUAAAUUAUACGGUCUUACCCAAAAUGGCAGCAUAGUGGGAAUUUCCUUCUGAAAAAUCAAAUGUAGGGCUCUACACCUUUAAACAUAGAGGCAUGCCAUUCAUAGUGUAAGGACCCGAGUAGAGGAUUUCAUCCCUGUCUUGUGAGUUGUUGAAUUUAGCAAUAUAAUAGACUUUGUCAUGCCAGUAUAGCUCUGGCAGGGUCACAAUGUUCCAGUUUCUCGCAAUGUAAGCUUUCAAGUAUGUCAAACCUGGUGCUUCCCCCAUUGUAUAGAGUAUUAAUGCAUUGCUCCAUUCCUUUGUAGAUCUCGCUAUGUUAACCUCCUCUAGCAUAACCCUAGGAUUCCUAUCAAGAACAAUUGGCACUAUGAAUUUAAAUGCCAUACCAUUAGCUAAAGCUCGAUUUCACGAAAAUAGAUUUGCCCAAUUCUUAUUCUCAUCAGAUUCCUUUUUCUCUUGCUGAUUCUCUAGCAUCGACAUUCCCAUUGGGCUAGAUAUUACUGGAUUAGCUGUGCUAGUACUUGGUUCCUCAAUGAAGAUGACUCUCUUCCCUUUCCAAGCCUGAUUUGACUCCAUUGUGGGUGAAGCCCCAAUUUUCAUGGUUACUAUGCCAUUUUCUUCAACCCGUUCUUCAUUCUCUACUAGAGUUUCCCCUUACUAUCUCCCUGGUUUCCUCGAUCCUCUGUUAGCUUUCUAGUUUUGUCAUUAUCCUUCCUAGGUUGCCUCUUCCUCGUUUAGCCAAGGAGGGUGCACGUUAGCAGAAUGAGUUAAGCAUGCUCCGAGAGCAUUGUAAAGAUUAU
Molecule: long non-coding RNA, 1201 nt
Filed under: Capsicum annuum
Lineage: Eukaryota; Viridiplantae; Streptophyta; Magnoliopsida; Solanales; Solanaceae
Description: long non-coding RNA (CANN_LNC017150)
Source: RNAcentral